CAAUGUUUAUCGAGUGGGAAAAGGCUUGCCAGUUUCGCUUCGACCGCUGUGUCGUGUGGAUGGAGAAUUUAUUCGUAUUCAAUCUCGAAUAUAAUUUAAAGUUGCACAUAUAUUUCAUCAAUUUAUAUGCGUUUUAUAAUAUUUAUACAAUGUAUAUUUAUUCGCGAGUGUAACAAUUUUGCGUUCUUUCUAUUUAUAAGCGUUGAUACAUUUCAAAUUUUUUAUGAAUGAAUAAGAAGCUGUUACUACAAAUAAGGUGGUCGCCAUUAGUCCGAGUUUUCCACGGGAACGAAGCAGGGGUUCGUUUCUUCGCCGGGAUAAUUAUUGAAUGUAGCAUGGAGAAGACUUUGGAGAAGAGAGACCUCAUAACUUAUAUCUUAAUGAGCUUACGCUGCUUGCGAUGUUUUAAUGAAUACUAAUGAACUCGAAAAUUUUUCUCAUCCCAAAGGGAAAAGUCCGGAUCCGUCCGAAGUUUUUUAACCGAGAAUAAUUGGUCUUAUUCUUGGCCGAAAGAUUUAUAGAUGGAAAAAAGAAGAGAGCGAAGCAA
Molecule: long non-coding RNA, 547 nt
Organism: Apis cerana (Asiatic honeybee)
Lineage: Eukaryota; Metazoa; Arthropoda; Insecta; Hymenoptera; Apidae
Source: RefSeq, a predicted model, not a curated record